Molecule: ribosomal RNA, 465 nt
Filed under: uncultured Klebsiella sp.
Lineage: Bacteria; Pseudomonadati; Pseudomonadota; Gammaproteobacteria; Enterobacterales; Enterobacteriaceae
Description: bacterial SSU rRNA
Rfam family: Bacterial small subunit ribosomal RNA
Source: RNAcentral
CCUACGGGAGGCUGCAGUGGGGGAUAUUGCACAAUGGGCGCAAGCCUGAUGCAGCCAUGCCGCGUGUGUGAAGAAGGCCUUCGGGUUGUAAAGCACUUUCAGCGGGGAGGAAGGCGGUGAGGUUAAUAACCUCAUCGAUUGACGUUACCCGCAGAAGAAGCACCGGCUAACUCCGUGCCAGCAGCCGCGGUAAUACGGAGGGUGCAAGCGUUAAUCGGAAUUACUAGGCGUAAAGCGCACGCAGGCGGUCUGUCAAGUCGGAUGUGAAAUCCCCGGGCUCAACCUGGGAACUGCAUUCGAAACUGGCAGGCUAGAGUCUUGUAGAGGGGGGUAGAAUUCCAGGUGUAGCGGUGAAAUGCGUAGAGAUCUGGAGGAAUACCGGUGGCGAAGGCGGCCCCCUGGACAAAGACUGACGCUCAGGUGCGAAAGCGUGGGGAGCAAACAGGAUUAGAUACCCCGGUAGUC